GGGCUCGACUCCUGUUCCUGCUGAACUGAGCCAGUGUGUACAACGAGAACUGAUAUCAGCUCAGUAGGCACCGGAGGGCGGGUCC
Molecule: microRNA precursor, 85 nt
Organism: Fukomys damarensis (Damara mole-rat)
Lineage: Eukaryota; Metazoa; Chordata; Mammalia; Rodentia; Bathyergidae
Source: Ensembl